This is a non-coding RNA of Trichuris trichiura (human whipworm), 72 nucleotides long. The record is from Rfam. Lineage: Eukaryota; Metazoa; Nematoda; Enoplea; Trichinellida; Trichuridae.
GGGUUAGUGGUCUAGUGGUAUGAUUCUCGCUUAGGGUGCGAGAGGUCCGGGGUUCAAUUCCCCGCUAACCCC